UAAUACGGGGGAGGCAAGCGUUGUUCGGAAUUAUUGGGCGUAAAGAGCGUGUAGGCGGUAAGGUAAGUCAAACGUGAAAGUCCUCGGCUCAACUGAGGAAUUGCGUUUGAUACUGCCUUUCUAGAGUACGGGAGAGGAGAGUGGAAUUCCUAGUGUAGCGGUGAAAUGCGUAGAUAUUAGGAAGAACACCGGUGGCGAAGGCGGCUCUCUGGACCGUUACUGACGCUGAGACGCGAAAGCUAGGGGAGCAAACGGGAUUAGAUACCCCGGUAGUCCUAGCCGUAAACGAUGGGCACUAGGUGAGGGAGGUAUCGACCCCUUCCGUGCCGUAGCUAACGCAUUAAGUGCCCCGCCUGGGGAGUACGGUCGCAAGACUG
RNAcentral lists this ribosomal RNA (377 nucleotides) under uncultured bacterium. Its description in RNAcentral is "bacterial SSU rRNA". It matches the Rfam family "Bacterial small subunit ribosomal RNA", at positions 521 to 896 of the family's 1533-position model. The record is from RNAcentral.